AGAGUUUGAUCCUGGCUCAGAUUGAACGCUGGCGGCAUGCUUAAUAUAUGUAAGUUGAAUGUGAAUGUAUUUUUGGGUGUUAGUAGAGUGGUGGAUGGGUGAGUAAUAUUUGGGAAUUUGUUUAGUAGUGGGGGAUAAUUUGGGGAAAUUUGAGUUAAUAUUGUAUAUGUUUUAUGGGGGAAAGAUUUAUUGUUAUUAGAUGAGUUUAAGUUAGAUUAGCUAGUUGGUAGGGUAAAGGUUUAUUAAGGUGAUGAUUUGUAGCUGGUCUGAGAGGGUGAAUAGUUAUAUUGGGAUUGAGAUAUGGUUUAGAUUUUUAUGGGAGGUAGUAGUGGGGAAUAUUGGAUAAUGGGUGAGAGCCUGAUCCAGCAAUGCCGCGUGUGUGAAGAAGGCCUGUGGGUUGUAAAGCACUUUUAGUUGGGAAGAUGAUGAUGUUAUUAAUAGAAGAAGUACCGGCUAACUCCGUGUUAGUAGUUGUGGUAAUAUGGAGGGUGCAAGCGUUAAUCGGAACUACUGGGCGUAAAGCGCGCGUAGGCGGCUUGGUCAGUCAGAUGUGAAAUUUCCGGGUUUAACCUGGGAAUUGUAUUUGAUAUUGUCUGGCUAGAAUGUGGUAGAGGGAAGUGGAAUUUUAGGUGUAGUGGUGAAAUGUGUGGAUAUUUGGAGGAAUAUUAGUGGUGAAGGUGAUUUCCUGGACCAAUAUUGACGCUGAGGUGCGAAAGCGUGGGUAGCAAACAGGAUUAGAUAUCCUGGUAGUCCACGCCGUAAACGAUGUCAACUAGCCGUCGGGUUCAUUUAAGAGCUUGGUGGCGCAGUUAAUGCGAUAAGUUGACCGCCUGGGGAGUACGGCCGCAAGGUUAAAACUCAAAGGAAUUGACGGGGGCCCGCACAAGCGGUGGAGUAUGUGGUUUAAUUUGAUGCAAUGUGAAGAAUUUUACCAGCCCUUGACAUUUUUGGAAUUUUUUAGAAAUAGAUUGGUGUUUUUGGGAAUUGAGUGAUAGGUGUUGUAUGGCUGUCGUCAGCUCGUGUUGUGAGAUGUUGGGUUAGGUUUUGUAAUGAGUGUAACCCUUGUUUUUAGUUGUUAGUGUUUUGGGUGGGGGUUUUAAGGAGACUGCUGGUGAUAAACCGGAGGAAGGUGGGGAUGACGUCAAGUCAUUAUGGCCCUUAUGGGCUGGGCUACACAUGUGCUACAAUGGGCGGUAUAGAGGGUUGUGAACCCGUGAGGGGGAGUUAGUUUUGUGGGACCGCUCGUAGUUCGGAUCGCAGUCUGUAGUUUGACUGCGUGAAGUUGGAAUUGUUAGUAA
Molecule: ribosomal RNA, 1298 nt
Filed under: metagenome
Description: bacterial SSU rRNA
Rfam family: Bacterial small subunit ribosomal RNA
Source: RNAcentral